Molecule: microRNA, 21 nt
Filed under: Panagrellus redivivus
Lineage: Eukaryota; Metazoa; Nematoda; Chromadorea; Rhabditida; Panagrolaimidae
Description: prd-miR-5359-5p
Source: miRBase by way of RNAcentral
UCUGGGAUUUUUUAUAUUGGU